Molecule: ribosomal RNA, 253 nt
Filed under: uncultured bacterium
Lineage: Bacteria
Description: partial 16S ribosomal RNA
Rfam family: Bacterial small subunit ribosomal RNA
Source: RNAcentral
UACGAAGGGUGCAAGCGUUACUCGGAAUUACUGGGCGUAAAGCGUGCGUAGGUGGUUCGUUAAGCCUGUCGUGAAAGCCCCGGGCUCAACCUGGGAAUGGCGAUGGAUACUGGCGGGCUAGAGUGCGGUAGAGGCGAGUGGAAUUCCUGGUGUAGCGGUGAAAUGCGCAGAUAUCAGGAGGAACACCUAUUGUGAAGGCAGCUCGCUGGGACGUAACUGACGCUGAGACGCGAAAGCGUGGGGAGCAAACAGG